RNAcentral lists this ribosomal RNA (253 nucleotides) under uncultured bacterium. RNAcentral's name for it is "partial 16S ribosomal RNA". It matches the Rfam family "Bacterial small subunit ribosomal RNA", at positions 524 to 776 of the family's 1533-position model. The record is from RNAcentral.
UACGUAGGGGGCAAGCGUUGUCCGGAUUUAUUGGGCGUAAAGAGCUCGUAGGCGGCCUGUCGCGUCGACCGUGAAAACCCGCAGCUCAACUGCGGGCUUGCGGUCGAUACGGGCAGGCUGGAGUUCGGUAGGGGAGACUGGAAUUCCUGGUGUAGCGGUGAAAUGCGCAGAUAUCAGGAGGAACACCGGUGGCGAAGGCGGGUCUCUGGGCCGAUACUGACGCUGAGGAGCGAAAGCGUGGGGAGCGAACAGG